RNAcentral lists this ribosomal RNA (200 nucleotides) under uncultured bacterium. RNAcentral's name for it is "partial 16S ribosomal RNA". It matches the Rfam family "Bacterial small subunit ribosomal RNA", at positions 8 to 216 of the family's 1533-position model. The record is from RNAcentral.
AGAGUUUGAUCCUGGCUCAGAAUGAACGCUGGCGGCGUGCCUAACACAUGCAAGUCGGAUGUGCGCAAGGUGCAUGGCAGACGGGUGAGUAACGCGUGGGGAAUCUACCUUUUAGUGGGGAAUAACGCUCCGAAAGGAGUGGUAAUACCGCAUGAGACCGAUCACUGGGAUGUGGUUGGUGAAACCUGGGGACCGCAAGG